RNAcentral lists this ribosomal RNA (433 nucleotides) under uncultured bacterium. Its description in RNAcentral is "partial 16S ribosomal RNA". It matches the Rfam family "Bacterial small subunit ribosomal RNA", at positions 29 to 507 of the family's 1533-position model. The record is from RNAcentral.
AGCGAACGCUGGCGGCAGGCCUAACACAUGCAAGUCGAACGAACUCUUCGGAGUUAGUGGCGGACGGGUGAGUAACACGUGGGAACGUGCCUUUUGGUUCGGAAUAACUCAGGGAAACUUGUGCUAAUACCGAAUGUGCCCUUCGGGGGAAAGAUUUAUCGCCAUUAGAGCGGCCCGCGUCUGAUUAGCUAGUUGGUGAGGUAACGGCUCACCAAGGCGACGAUCAGUAGCUGGUCUGAGAGGAUGACCAGCCACACUGGGACUGAGACACGGCCCAGACUCCUACGGGAGGCAGCAGUUGGGAAUCUUGCGCAAUGGGCGAAAGCCUUACGCAGCCAUGCCGCGUGAAUGAUGAAGGUCUUAGGAUUGUAAAAUUCUUUCACCGGGGACGAUAAUGACGGUACCCGGAGAAGAAGCCCCGGCUAACUUCGUG